Molecule: long non-coding RNA, 261 nt
Organism: Pogoniulus pusillus (Red-fronted tinkerbird)
Lineage: Eukaryota; Metazoa; Chordata; Aves; Piciformes; Lybiidae
Exons: 3
Source: RefSeq, a predicted model, not a curated record
ACCGAGCUUACGGGCAGCCGGUGAGCGUCACCCGGGACGCGGAUUCUAUGCGCACCAAGCAAGGUACAUUGGAAAUAAGCUUCUAUAUAUAAAACCUAGACUGGAAUAUUGGCAAGCAGAUUCUAGAGAGAGCAUCAACUGCGCAGCUGAAGGAUGGAGAGUUGAGAAAAGGUGAAUUAAGGAGGUGGUUGACAACCUAUUAACAAUUAACUGCACAGCAUGAUGGAAAGCACUGAAAAAGAAUUUUGUCUUUAGGGAUGG